UUGUGUGUUGGGUGUCGUCGAGAAUCGGCAGCCCUACUACCUCCAUCACCAAUCUGCCUGCUUGUUUCCGGUCAUCCUUGCAUCAGGCCGACGAAGGUGGGUUUACUUAAUUGCCUUUCCCCCAAAGCUCUUUGCCGCCUCAAUUAAGCUUCUUAAGGCGAGUCGCUCUUUCUUUCUCACGUUUUUCUUUUUGCCACUCUUUCUUCUCAUCCGUUUUCUUUCUUCUUGAGAAUGAACCGCCCUCCUUUCCGACCAAUAGAAAGAGUGAAAGACUGGACACGGUGAUUUUAUGGUAUAUGGCGGUGAGCAACACCUGUGACGUAUGAUUACCAUCAGCGAGGUCUUUCAUCGACUUCACGUACUCCCCCAAUCGGAAGGCUGUCGGGCGGCCUCUUUUAACGUAUCCGGUGCACAGCACCUUGGCUGCCUACUUGCCUCUUCUGGUUUGUUUCCCCCAAAGCUGACGGAUUUUGGUCCAAUUGAAGUGAGCGGCUUAUUUUUUGGUCCAAUCGAUUUUUCUUCUCCUCCUUAUUGGUGUAAGUAAUUGCCUCUAGGUCUCUUCUUCUUAACGCCAUACUAUAUUAUCUUCGUCUCGCUUUUCUUCUCCUUCUUCUCCAUGUGACCAAUUGAAGGUUCAGUUUAAUCUAAGAUAUGAUGUGAGACUUAAAGGAUUCACGACGUGAAUCGUUGGUUCUAGAAGAUAUGUACGCGGGUGAAUCGUAAGAUAUCAAAUCAUAAGAUACGACGUGAAAAAGAGCAGCUGACUUUGCAGUUGAGCUUGAGCCCUGAGGUAUAAUCACUCUUUCCUCCACCGUCUUGCCGGUGCUUUUUCUAUAUCAAGGGGACGAACAUCAUAUCUUAUGAUUUGAUAUGAGUGUCGGCCCCCACCUUGAAGCUCAUCUCCUCUAGGCUGCAUCGCUAGCCUACCUUUUGCCGCCUCAAUUGCAAUAAAGUUCUUGAACCUCUGUAAAUUGAUUUAUUUAGUUGUUCCUACCUCAAAUCGAAGCUACAAGAACUCUUGUUGCCGGCUUAGCCUAAAGAACAACAUCUACUUCCAUCAACGAAACAUAAAUCUAAAAUUGGUGCUUGUGAACGAUUUAAUCAAGCCCUAAGAAAACACAAGGAGGGCGGACGAUAUCAGAGAAAGAGCACAUAUUAUGAAUUUCAUGUACCAGUAGCAUUUUUUGCAGUCGCUCCUUGUUAAUAUUCUAUGCAUAUAUAAAAAAGUCAAAACGAUUGCAUAAUGUCAACUUUAAAAGCUGAAUGAAAACAACAAAACUAAAAUAAUAUUGUUAAUUGUCACCCAUUUACCAAA
Molecule: non-coding RNA, 1315 nt
Organism: Lactuca sativa (garden lettuce)
Lineage: Eukaryota; Viridiplantae; Streptophyta; Magnoliopsida; Asterales; Asteraceae
Source: RefSeq, a predicted model, not a curated record